Molecule: long non-coding RNA, 1274 nt
Filed under: Equus caballus (horse)
Lineage: Eukaryota; Metazoa; Chordata; Mammalia; Perissodactyla; Equidae
Description: lncRNA (ENSECAG00000056535.1)
Source: RNAcentral
CUUGAAUGAGUUCUUAGGAAACAGCAGUUGUUACUACACAGAUGUGGCCAGGGCCGCCUGGCGUACCCUGCUCGUCUUCCUGCCUGCCACGCCAGUAAAACAAAACUCCAUGGAGAACAACCUUCUUUGUCUCUCCCUCCUUUGAUUUCCUUAGAAAUUUAACCCUUUGGAGGAGCUUUAGACAUUAAUAUUUACCCUUCUUUCCUUGGAUUCAAAAAAGGACAGUAACACCAAUGACUGACUGAAAUUCAGGAGCACACUAUGCAGCUAUGGGGUAACAAAGUUGAUUUUCUCUGCGUGACAGGCUUACGCUUCGUCAGUGUGUUGUUUACUCCUCAGGUACACUGUACUACUCCUGGGCUCCCCGAGGCAAAUCUACAAUUCCAUGAUUAAUGCAAGAGCAUUAGCCACGCUAGCCAGAUCCUUGGAGUCUACGAUUCUUUGUUUUCUUCUUAAAAAAAUGUUUACCUGCUGCUGAAUGCUGAUUCUCAGAUGAUGAUAGUUACUUAGGAAAGAGGAAGAAAAGAGCCUACAUUAGCACAGUUUUGUGCCUUUCUCACUUCCAUUUCCGGGAGAGGAAAAAAAGUGAAAAUUCUUCAAAAUCAGAUUGUUUUCAACUUUCAGUACCUUGACUACUGCUUUCAAUUCGAGAAGAGGAGGCGAGGAGGCCAAGUGGCCGAACCCAGAGCAGGCCUGCCCACUUCGGAGGGCAGCUCUGGGGCCUGGGAGUCCGUGAAUCGGAAACAAACUGCACCCAUACGCUGACGGAAGUUAAUGACCGAGUUAGUCAAGUUUGAAACUCCUGCAGGAACACAGUAGAGCAGAUUCCAGGCAGCUGGCCCCGUGUCACAUAUAUACGCCAAGAAAAAAGUCACCUAAAAACCUUAUACUUGUUCAUGCUUUGGUCCUGAAUUGUAAAAAUCCUGUCGUUUGAAAUCUGCCCUGUGAUAGGGUUAACUAGCAACCCUUGGAAGUAGUGGAAUUCGAAAAAAAAAAAGGCCAUUGUACCGAGCAGCCCCGGGGCUCAGGGGCGGACGCAGUUGGGAAGUCUGGCGCGAAAGGGGUGGCUUCGGUUUCAGGCACGGAGCUCCCACCGGGUUUUGUUCAGCAGCAGGGCCUGGGUGGGUCGUGAGCAGGCCCUGGAGGCCCCCGAUCCCGGCGCGCGGCACAGCCGCCCCUCGCAGAGGACACUUGUCACCAGGCGUCCCCGGCUCGGGCGUCGGCGGGAGGCGGCUGGAAGCCCCGGAAAGGCGGAGAGAGGGAGCGGGCGCGGG